Long non-coding RNA from Gadus macrocephalus (Pacific cod), 2362 nucleotides. RefSeq lists it as uncharacterized. The record is from RefSeq and is a predicted model, not a curated record. The transcript is spliced from 2 exons. Lineage: Eukaryota; Metazoa; Chordata; Actinopteri; Gadiformes; Gadidae.
AACACAUUGUUUGUCAAAAAGUGAUUCUUACGCUCUGAAAAGCAUUUUGCGCUCAUGAACAAGAAAUUUUGAUAUCUCUGUCAAUUUCAAUGCAAACGUGUUACUAAGCUUACCAAAGGGUUGAAGGGCCAAACUCCACCAUUUGGAAGUGAUCAAAAAGUGAUUCUAACGCUCAGAAAAGCAUUUUGCGCUCAUAAAAAUAAGAAAUGUUGAUAUCUCUGUCAAUUUCAAUGCAAACGUGUUACUAAGCUCAGCAAAGGGGUUAUGGGGCCAUACUCCACCAUUUGGAAGUAGUUUUGAGCAAAAUCAACAAUGUAAAGUCAAAAACACAUUGUUGGUCAAAAAGUGAUUCUUACGCUCUGAAAAGUAUUUUGCGCUCAUAAACAAGAAAUGUUGAUAUCUCUGUCAAUUUCAAUGCAAACGUGUUACUAAGCUUACCAAAGGGUUAUAGGGGCAUACUCCACCAUUUGGAAUGGGAAUGCAUUAAUUUUGAGCAAAAUCAACAAUGUAAGGUUAAAAACACAUUGUUGGUCAAAAAGUGAUUCUUGCGCUCUGAAAAAUAUUUGGCACGCAUAAAAAUAAGACAUUUUGAUAUUUCUGUUCAUUUCAGAAAAACAAGUCAAAAACACAUUGUUGGUCAAAAAGUGAUUCUUACGCUCUGAAAAGCAUUUUGCGCUCAUGAACAAGAAAUUUUGAUAUCUCUGUCAAUUUCAAUGCAAACGUGUUACUAAGCUUACCAAAGGGUUGAAGGGCCAAUCUCCACCAUUUGGAAGUGAUCAAAAAGUGAUUCUAACGCUCUGAAAAGCUCAUAAAAACAAGAAAUGUUGAUAUCUCUGUCAAUUUCAAUGCAAACGUGUUACUAAGCUCAGCAAAGGGUUAGAGGGCCAUACUCCACCAUUUGGAAGUAGUUUUGAGCAAAAUCAACCAUAUAAAGUUAAAAACACAUUGUUGGUCAAAAAGUGAAUCUUACGCUCUGAAAAGCAUUUUGCGCACAUAAAAACAAGAAAUGUUGAUAUCUCUGUCAAUUUCAAUGCAAACGUGUUACUAAGCUUACCAAAGGGUUGAAGGGCCAAACUCCACCAUUUGGAAGUGAUCAAAAAGUGAUUCUAACGCUCUGAAAAGCAUUUUGCUCUCAUAAACAAGAAAUGUUGAUAUCUCUGUCAAUUUCAAUGCAAACGUGUUACUAAGCUUACCAAAGGGUUAUAGGGGCAUGCUCCACUAUUUGGAAGUGGAAUACAUUAGUUUUGAGAAAAAUCAACAAUGUAAGGUCGAAAACACAUUGUUGGUCAAAAAGUGAUUCUAGCGCUUUGAAAAGCAUUUUGCAUGCGUAAAAACAAAAAAUGUUGAUAUCUCUGUCAAUUUCAAUGCAAACGUGUUACUAAGCUUACCAAAGGGUUUAUAGGGCCAUACUCCACCAUUUGGAAGUGGAAUACAUUAGUUUUGAGCAAAAUCAACAAUGUAAGGUCAGAAACAUAUUGUUGGUCAAAUAGUGAUUCUAGCUCUAUGAAAAAUAUUUUGCAUGCGUAAAAAUAAAAAAUGUUGAUAUCUCUGUCAAUUUCAAUGCAAACGUGUUACUAAGCUUACCAAAGGGCUAUAGGGCCAUACUCCACCAUUUGGAAGUGGAAUGCAUUAGUUUUGAACAAAAUCAACAAUGUAAGGUUAAAAACACAUUGUUGGUCAAAAAGUUAUUCUAGCGCUCUGAAAAAUAUUUGGCACGCAUAAAAACAAGAAAUUUUGAUAUUUCUGUUCAUUUCAGAAAAACAAGUCAAAAACACAUUGUUGGUCAUAAAGUGAUUCUAGCGCUCUGAAAAGCAUUUUGCACGCAUAAAAACAAGAAAUGUUGAUAUCUGUCAAUUUCAAUUUAAACUUGUUACUAAGCUUACCAAAGGGUUAUAGGGCCAUGCUCCACUAUUUGGAAGUGGAAAACAUUAGUUUUGAGAAAAAUCAACAAUGUAAGGUCAAAAACACAUUGUUGGUCAAAAAGUGAUUCUAGCGCUUUGAAAAGGAUUUUGCAUGCGUAAAAACAAAAAAUGUUGAUAUCUCUGUCAAUUUCAAUGCAAACGUGUUACUAAGCUUACCAAAGGGCUAUAGGGCCAUACUCCACUAUUUGGAACUGGAAUACAUUAGUUUUGAGCAAAAUCAACAAUGUAAGGUUAAAAACAAAUUGUUGGUCAAAAAGUGAUUCUGGCGCUCUGAAAAGCAUUUGGCACGAUAAAAACAAGAAAUGUUGAUUUUUCUGUUCAUUUCAGAAAAACAAGUCAAAAACACAUUGUUGGUCAAAAAGUGAUUCUAGCGCUCUGAAAAGCAUUUUGCACGCAUAAAAACAAGAAAUGUUGAUAUCUCUGUCAAUUUCAAUGCAAAC